Molecule: long non-coding RNA, 1868 nt
Organism: Rosa chinensis
Lineage: Eukaryota; Viridiplantae; Streptophyta; Magnoliopsida; Rosales; Rosaceae
Exons: 12
Source: RefSeq, a predicted model, not a curated record
AGUAUUCUUUGCCUCCUCAAGUGGGAAGGAGUUGGGAAAGUGGAAGUCCCCAUGAGGCUGUAGACUUCUGGGGUUUGACCAAAACCUAGUGAUACAGAGACAAGCAUUGAAUCAGCGGCCUCAACACCAGACACUCUGAAUUUAUUUACUAUAUACUAGAGCUCCUGUAACUGUACUGUUCCUACAUAUCAGCAGUGGAAUGACGGUUUUGCCCCCGAAGAAUGUAGCAAGAGAGAGAGGCUCUGAGAUACAGGCGUGGCGGCCAUCAAGCUGUCCGAUAGAAGCGAGUAUCGACCGCAUCAAUCAGGAUCUGAGAUACGUAGGACGAGUAGGAGAGGAAGUUCAUAAUAGGAAGUUGCGAUACAAAGCUCCUAGAACUGCUGGAUUGUAAAAAUUGCUCAACUCUUGGACGUUGUAUGCUUAUGUAAGGACCCUUUGCUUUAUGGUCAGUUAGGAUAUUUUUGCUCAAGUUUGUGAUCACCUUUGAAUUAUGUUAUCAAUUGUUUUGAAUGGUAUCUUAUGGGAAAGUGAUAUAGUUCGUGCUCUUGAAGAAAAUGCUAGAGCUUCCUACAAUUUGGACACUCUUUGAACUACAGAGCCGUUUGAGAAAGAACCAAUUCAGAUGCUGAUGAAAAAAGUUGAUGCAUUGAUGAAAGCCAUGGAGCGGAGUCUAUGAAAAUAAAGAAAGAAAGAAGCCGUAGCUAAAGAUAGAAAAGCUGCAGCAGCUAAGGUGGAUGCUAACAAAAAGAACAGAAUUAUAAACUCAUCUAAGAGAGUGAUGGAGAAAGCGAGAGAGUCAUGUUCUCCUUCUUUGCUCGGCUUGGACGGGAAAUGAUAGACAGAGGGAGAGAUCGAAGGGACUGGUCAUCUUUUUCUUCAUCUCCAAAAUGAUCUUCGAGAAACUGAGCUCAUUUGAUCAAAUCGGAAUAUCCGAUUGAGCUAUCAGAGAUCUUUGAGUGAUUGAGCUCUUGGUUAUAUAUGGGUUUGAUGAUGCAAUGGCCAUUGGUUAUAAACACAGUGUUUGCUUUGUAAAGGUUGUGAAUAUAAAGAGUUGGUUUCAAUUGAAUUUGGCUCAUGGACUAGAUAUGAAAAGUGAAGCUUGGAGAGAAGAUGGUUUUAGGAUUUCUAUGAGGAUCUAUUUUAGGAGUUGAGCAAGCAGUCAAGCACACACAGAUUAAGAGCUUGAAUAUCUGUGAUAAUUUAGCUGACCACAUAAUUCGGCAAGCCACAAACUAAUCAUGAAAUUGCCAAUAAGAUAGUGCAUACAUUGAAGAGGCAUCUUCCUUUCUCCAGUCAAGAGGGAUUGCAUGAACUCAAGAAAAUUGUUGUUGGGUUUGUGGAGAAUAUUUAUACUGCUACUAUUAGCCAAGUACAUUUGAUGUCCUGAUCAUCUAUAGUACAUUUGGAUUAUCUACAAAGAAUUUCUCUGAAGAUGCUCACUAUGGAGACCAAGUCUCAGAACACAAUGGCCAAUUCUUUAUAAAACAACUCUGUUGACAAGUAACCCUGCUGGGACUGCCAACCAACUAAAAGUGGUUGCUGUGGCUGAAAUUGAAAGAUCAAGUGUUGAUGAGACAACAUCUCGGAGCUGCAAACUAUAAACUUCGACUUGAUUAUGAUAAGAAGUACUGAAAAUUGGAAGAAACCUACAGUGUUGGGAUUGGCUUUAGGUGAGGCAAAUGAGAAGAAAAUAGAUGAGGAGCAGACAAAUUGUGUGAACAAAGAAGGUAUUCAAGGCCUCAAGUGACGUCUAGACAACAGUGUUGAGACUGACUUUAGAUGAGGCAAAUGAGAAGAAAAUAGUUCAAUAGAUGAGGAGUAAAAAAAAUUGUUAACAACAAAUCCCGCGGCAUAGCGCGGGCGCUUUU